This 253-nucleotide ribosomal RNA is filed under the name uncultured bacterium. RNAcentral describes it as "partial 16S ribosomal RNA". It matches the Rfam family "Archaeal small subunit ribosomal RNA", at positions 474 to 727 of the family's 1478-position model. The record is from RNAcentral.
UACCAGCACCCCGAGUGGUCGGGACGUUUAUUGGUCCUAAAGCAUCCGUAUCCGGUUCUACAAGUCUUCCGUUAAAUCCACCUGCUUAACAGAUGGGCUGCGGAAGAUACUAUAGAGCUAGGAGGCGGGAGAGGCAAGCGGUACUCGAUGGGUAGGGGUAAAAUCCGUUGAUCCAUUGAAGACCACCAGUGGCGAAGGCGGCUUGCCAGAACGCGAUCGACGGUGAGGGAUGAAAGCUGGGGGAGCAAACCGG